GCGAGCGGCGGAUGGGUGAGUAACACGUGGGGAACCUGCCCCUAAGUCUGGGAUACCAUUUGGAAACAGGUGCUAAUACCGGAUAAUAAAGCAGAUCGCAUGAUCAGCUUUUGAAAGGCGGCGUAAGCUGUCGCUAAGGGAUGGCCCCGCGGUGCAUUAGCUAGUUGGUAAGGUAACGGCUUACCAAGGCGACGAUGCAUAGCCGAGUUGAGAGACUGAUCGGCCACAUUGGGACUGAGACACGGCCCAAACUCCUACGGGAGGCAGCAGUAGGGAAUCUUCCACAAUGGACGCAAGUCUGAUGGAGCAACGCCGCGUGAGUGAAGAGGGUUUUCGGAUCGUAAAGCUCUGUUGUUGGUGAAGAAGGAUAGAGGUAGUAACUGGCCUUUAUUUGACGGUAAUCAACCAGAAAGUCACGGCUAACUACGUGCCAGCAGCCGCGGUAAUACGUAGGUGGCAAGCGUUGUCCGGAUUUAUUGGGCGUAAAGCGAGCGCAGGCGGAAAAAUAAGUCUAAUGUGAAAGCCCUCGGCUUAACCGAGGAACUGCAUCGGAAACUGUUUUUCUUGAGUGCAGAAGAGGAGAGUGGAACUCCAUGUGUAGCGGUGGAAUGCGUAGAUAUAUGGAAGAACACCAGUGGCGAAGGCGGCUCUCUGGUCUGCAACUGACGCUGAGGCUCGAAAGCAUGGG
Molecule: ribosomal RNA, 688 nt
Filed under: uncultured bacterium
Lineage: Bacteria
Description: bacterial SSU rRNA
Rfam family: Bacterial small subunit ribosomal RNA
Source: RNAcentral